Molecule: ribosomal RNA, 962 nt
Filed under: Suncus murinus (house shrew)
Lineage: Eukaryota; Metazoa; Chordata; Mammalia; Eulipotyphla; Soricidae
Description: partial 16S ribosomal RNA
Rfam family: Bacterial large subunit ribosomal RNA
Source: RNAcentral
AAAUUUUAAUGUAAAUUUAAAUAUUAAUCUGUAGAGGUACAGCUCUACAGAACAAGACUACAACCUUAAUUAGAGAGUAAAUUUUAUAACAACCAUAGUUGGCUUAAAAGCAGCCACCAAUUAAGAAAGCGUUCAAGCUCGACAAUUAAAUCAAUACUUAAUUCAAAAAAUUAUAUUAACCCCUAACUUGAUUACUGGAUUAUUCUACUAAAUGUAGAAGAAAUACUGUUAAUAUGAGUAAUAAGAUCUUAGAUCUCCAAACACACGUGUAUAUCAGCCCGAAUACCUACUGAUAUUUAACAAUUAAAUAAAUCUAUACACAAAUAAAUGAUUUUUUAUUAUAUUGUUAACCCAACACCGGAGUGUAUAUUAAGGAAAGAUUAAAAAAAGUAAAAGGAACUCGGCAAACAUUAACCCCGCCUGUUUACCAAAAACAUCACCUCUAGCAUUAUCAGUAUUAGAGGCACUGCCUGCCCAGUGACAUUAGUUAAACGGCCGCGGUAUCCUGACCGUGCAAAGGUAGCAUAAUCAUUUGUUCCUUAAUUAGGGACUUGUAUGAAUGGCCUCACGAGGGUUUAACUGUCUCUUACUUUUAAUCAGUGAAAUUGACCUUCCCGUGAAGAGGCGGGAAUACUAAAAUAAGACGAGAAGACCCUAUGGAGCUUAAAUUAAAUUAUCCAACAAACCUAACUUAAAUCCAACAGGAAUAAUUAAACUUUAACUGGAUAAUAAAUUUUGGUUGGGGUGACCUCGGAGCAUAACUUAACCUCCGAGCAGUUAAAACUCAGACUUACCCGUCAAAGUGGAACUAUUAAUUGAUCCAAUCUUAUUGAUCAACGGAACAAGUUACCCUAGGGAUAACAGCGCAAUCCUAUUUAAGAGUCCAUAUCGACAAUAGGGUUUACGACCUCGAUGUUGGAUCAGGACAUCCUAAUGGUGCAGCAGCUAUUAAAGGUUCGUUU